Molecule: ribosomal RNA, 427 nt
Filed under: uncultured bacterium
Lineage: Bacteria
Description: bacterial SSU rRNA
Rfam family: Bacterial small subunit ribosomal RNA
Source: RNAcentral
UGAGGAAUAUUGGACAAUGGGCGAAAGCCUGAUCCAGCCAUGCCGCGUGAGUGAAGAAGGCCUUCGGGUUGUAAAGCUCUUUCAGCCGGAAAGAAAUCGCGCAGGAUAAUACUCUGCGUGGAUGACGGUACCGGAAGAAGAAGCACCGGCUAACUACGUGCCAGCAGCCGCGGUAAUACGAAGGGUGCAAGCGUUACUCGGAAUUACUGGGCGUAAAGCGUGCGUAGGUGGUUAUAUAAGACAGAUGUGAAAUCCCCGGGCUCAACCUGGGACCUGCAUUUGUGACUGUAUAGCUAGAGUACGGUAGAGGGGGAUGGAAUUCCGCGUGUAGCAGUGAAAUGCGUAGAUAUGCGGAGGAACACCGAUGGCGAAGGCAAUCCCCUGGACCUGUACUGACGCUCAUGCACGAAAGCGUGGGGAGCAAACA